RNAcentral lists this RNase P RNA (350 nucleotides) under Candidatus Blautia intestinigallinarum. Its description in RNAcentral is "RNase P RNA component class A". It matches the Rfam family "Bacterial RNase P class A". From Rfam's summary of the family: Ribonuclease P (RNase P) is a ubiquitous endoribonuclease, found in archaea, bacteria and eukarya as well as chloroplasts and mitochondria. Its best characterised activity is the generation of mature 5'-ends of tRNAs by cleaving the 5'-leader elements of precursor-tRNAs. The record is from RNAcentral. Lineage: Bacteria; Bacillati; Bacillota; Clostridia; Lachnospirales; Lachnospiraceae.
CAAGCAGGACAGGUGAUCGCGGCUGGCCAGACGAAAGGGGCCAGGUGAGGAAAGUCCGGGCUUCACAGGGCAGGAUGCCGGAUAACGUCCGGUGGAGGUGACUCCCAGACCAGUGCAACAGAAAUAAACCGCCGGGAUCUCCCGGUAAGGGUGGAAAGGCAGUGUAAGAGACUACCGCCUGUCUGGUAACAGACAGGGCACAUGUAAACUCCAUUCGAAGCAAGACCGAACAGAAAGCUAUGCGGCUGCCCGUCGCGCUUUCAGGUGGGUCGCUGGAUCCUGUCGGCAACGGCAGGGCUAGAUAGAUGAUCACCCAACGACAUAACCCGGCUUAUCGUUCUGCUUGUCCC